RNAcentral lists this ribosomal RNA (445 nucleotides) under uncultured bacterium. RNAcentral's name for it is "bacterial SSU rRNA". It matches the Rfam family "Bacterial small subunit ribosomal RNA", at positions 331 to 793 of the family's 1533-position model. The record is from RNAcentral.
CCAGACUCCUACGGGAGGCAGCAGUGGGGAAUAUUGCACAAUGGGGGAAACCCUGAUGCAGCGACGCCGCGUGAGUGAAGAAGUAUUUCGGUAUGUAAAGCUCUAUCAGCAGGGAAGAUAAUGACGGUACCUGAGUAAGAAGCCCCGGCUAACUACGUGCCAGCAGCCGCGGCAAUACGUAGGGGGCAAGCGUUAUCCGGAUUUACUGGGUGUAAAGGGAGCGUAGACGGCAUGGCAAGUCUGAAGUGAAAGCCCGGGGCUCAACCGCGGGACUGCUUUGGAAACUGUUAAGCUGGAGUGCAGGAGAGGUAAGUGGAAUUCCUAGUGUAGCGGUGAAAUGCGUAGAUAUUAGGAGGAACACCGGCGGCGAAGGCGGCCUGCUGGACUGAAACUGACGUUGAGGCUCGAAAGCGUGGGGAGCAAACAGGAUUAGAUACCCCCGUAU